This 215-nucleotide long non-coding RNA is filed under the name Elaeis guineensis (African oil palm). RNAcentral's name for it is "long non-coding RNA (EGUI_LNC055914)". The record is from RNAcentral. Lineage: Eukaryota; Viridiplantae; Streptophyta; Magnoliopsida; Arecales; Arecaceae.
GCACAACAAAGAAAUACUAUUCAAAUAUGCCAUAAGCAUCAAUAUGCACUUGAUCAACAUCAUGUUAAUUUCUAUAGUAAGCCUGAUGGAUAGCACAACAAGCUCACUAAGAUCUUAACAUACUCUAUCAAUCAAGUUUGAAGGAAGUCCUUGUAAUGUCUACAUUACUUAAUCAAUCUAAGUCUGACAAUCAAUAAGACCAAAUUGACCAGGUA